Molecule: ribosomal RNA, 497 nt
Filed under: uncultured bacterium
Lineage: Bacteria
Description: partial 16S ribosomal RNA
Rfam family: Bacterial small subunit ribosomal RNA
Source: RNAcentral
GAUGAACGCUGGCGGCGUGCCUAAUACAUGCAAGUCGAGCGAACAGAUGAGGAGCUUGCUCCUCUGACGUUAGCGGCGGACAGGUGAGUAACACGUGGAUAACCUACCUAUAAGACUGGGAUAACUUCGGGAAACCGGAGCUAAUACCGGAUAAUAUAUUGAAUCGCAUGGUUCAAUAGUGAAAGACGGUUUUGCUGUCACUUAUAGAUGGAUCCGCGCCGCAUUAGCUAGUUGGUAAGGUAACGGCUUACCAAGGCAACGAUGCGUAGCCGACCUGAGAGGGUGAUCGGCCACACUGGAACUGAGACACGGUCCAGACUCCUACGGGAGGCAGCAGUAGGGAAUCUUCCGCAAUGGGCGAAAGCCUGACGGAGCAACGCCGCGUGAGUGAUGAAGGUCUUCGGAUCGUAAAACUCUGUUAUUAGGGAAGAACAAAUGUGUAAGUAACUAUGCACGUCUUGACGGUACCUAAUCAGAAAGCCACGGCUAACUACGUG